This is a non-coding RNA of Nothobranchius furzeri (turquoise killifish), 1241 nucleotides long. The record is from RefSeq and is a predicted model, not a curated record. Lineage: Eukaryota; Metazoa; Chordata; Actinopteri; Cyprinodontiformes; Nothobranchiidae.
UGUGUCUCUUAUAUAAAAGCAAAAGAAGCCCCCAAAGCAACUGCCAACAUCUCUGGGAAUGCGGUUGCUACAGAGCAGACUGCUGGAGGGUGCUCCAUUUCUGAAACUUAUGAAAAUCCCUGAAGAGACAUGACAACAUCGUGGCACAACUGGAAAUCGAUGUAGCCAGUGGACACAUAAGCCUUCGUUCGCCCUGAUCUCACAUAUGUGCUGCUCAUUGUACCAUCAACACCAAACGAAGGCACAGAAAUUCAUGCUAAUGUGUGUUUGAUGUUGAUCUGAAUAUGGAUAAUUAAGGAAAGGCUGCUGUAAUGUUUUAAUUGUACAUAUGGCCUAGGGCUGGGCAAUAAAUCGAAAAUGUAUCUUUAUCAAAAUGUGUGACUCUUAUCGGGAUUAUUUUCCCACGUCAAUAAAUUUGAUAAUAGAAAAAAUGAAAAGAUGUGUGUAGGUUGGCAACAUUCAUGUCCCUUUAAGAUGUACCACCUUGAGUCACGUAAAAAUGUGACUCAAUUAGAGCUGAAACAACUAAUCGAUUUAAUCGAUUAUAAUCGAUUAUUAAAAUAGUUAACAACUUUUUUAGUCAUCGAUUAGUUGUUUAAUAAUCAUAUUUUACCGCAUAACGUCUAUUUUUUACCACAAUCUGACAUCGGUUACAAUCUGUUAAAUUUGCCGCCAGUGUGUGGCAGUAAUGAGCCACUGAUCUACCAGUGGAGCCGUAGAAGAAGAAAUGAGCCAAUAAGUGCCCUCGGUUUUCAUGACGUAUCACGUUACUGACGCUCAUCUUGCUGUGAGAGAUGGCGGAUCAACAAGAAAUACGGAAGAAAAAUAGAAGCGACAAAACAAGAGAAACCCCGGACAAAAACCUCACGAAUAUGGGAGCACUUCACUAGAUGCCUUGAAAAGACCGGUGACCUGCAAAAUAUGCAAAAACCAUGGCACGACGGAAGCACGACGUCCCUAAGUGAACAUUUGAGAUGAAAACGUGGGGGCUGAUGCAGCAGAGGAAUGUCCGAAAAAAACAAGCAACGAUGGACAACUACAUGGGGAACAAGACACUCACCCCCAGCAAUGCAUACCACUUACAAACUCUAUUCCAGAUUCUACAUUAUUUUUUAUGGAAUUUACCUCUUAUAUUUUGAUGCCAAAAAAUUAUUCUGGACUGAUAUUUUGCACUGUUUAGCUCAUUUUACACCGCUGACUGUGUUCAUGUGCAAUAAAAUAGAUUGCAGUCAACUGCAAAA